AGUAACGGCGAGUGAAGCGGCAACAGCUCAAAUUUGAAAUCUGGCCUCUUUGGGGUCCGAGUUGUAAUUUGGAGAGGAUGUUUCGGGUACGGUCCGGGCUUAAAUUUCUUGGAACAGAAUGUCACAGAGGGUGAGAAUCCCGUCUGGAGUCUGCGACACGGCCUAUGUGAAACUCCUUCGACGAGUCGAGUUGUUUGGGAAUGCAGCUCUAAAUGGGUGGUAAAUUUCAUCUAAAGCUAAAUAUUGGCCAGAGACCGAUAGCGCACAAGUAGAGUGAUCGAAAGAUGAAAAGCACUUUGAAAAGAGAGUUAAACAGUACGUGAAAUUGUUGAAAGGGAAGCGCUGGCAACCAGACUUGCGCGUCGGGGUUCCCCCUGGCUUCUGCCUGGGCUACUCCCCGGCGCUCAGGCCAACAUCGGUUUUGGGGGUCGGUUAAAGGCCCCGGGAAUGUACCUACCCUUCGGGGUAGACUUAUAGCCCGGGGUGUCAUGCGGCCACCCGGGACCGAGG
This 510-nucleotide ribosomal RNA is filed under the name Cyphellophora sessilis. RNAcentral describes it as "eukaryotic LSU rRNA". It matches the Rfam family "Eukaryotic large subunit ribosomal RNA", at positions 82 to 596 of the family's 3401-position model. RNAcentral also lists the same sequence under 1 other name. The record is from RNAcentral. Lineage: Eukaryota; Fungi; Ascomycota; Eurotiomycetes; Chaetothyriales; Cyphellophoraceae.